GGGCGUAAAGAGCUCGUAGGUGGUUCGUCACGUCGGAUGUGAAAAUCUGGGGCUUAACCCCAGACCUGCAUUCGAUACGGGCGAGCUAGAGUGUGGUAGGGGAGACUGGAAUUCCUGGUGUAGCGGUGGAAUGCGCAGAUAUCAGGAGGAACACCAAUGGCGAAGGCAGGUCUCUGGGCCAUUACUGACACUGAGGAGCGAAAGCGUGGGGAGCGAACAGGAUUAGAUACCCUGGUAGUCCACGCCGUAAACGGUGGGCACUAGUUGUGGGAACCUUCCACGGUUUCUGCGACGCAGCUAACGCAUUAAGUGCCCCGCCUGGGGAGUACGAUCGCAAGAUUAAAACUCAAAGGAAUUGACGGGGCCCCGCACAAGGCAGCGGAGCAUGCGGCUUAAUUCGACGCAACGCGAAGAACCUUACCAAGGCUUGACAUAUACACGGAAUAUGGCAUAAAUGUCAUAGCCGCAAGGUCUGUAUACAUGUGGUGCAUGGUUGUCGUCAGCUCGUGUCGUGAGAGUGUUGGGUUAAGUCCCGCAACGAGCGCAACCCUCGUUCUGUGUUGCCAGCAUUUAGUUGGGGACUCACAGGAGACUGCCGGGGUUAACCUCGGAGGAAGGUGGGGAUGACGUCAAAUCAUCAUGCCCCUUAUGUCUUGGGCUGCACGCAUGCUACAAUGGCUGGUACAAACGGCUGCGAUACCGCAAGGUGGAGCGAAUCCGAUAAAGCCAGUCUCAGUUCGGAUUGGGGUCUGCAACUCGACCGCCAUGAAGUCGGAGUUGCUAGUAAUCGUAGA
RNAcentral lists this ribosomal RNA (794 nucleotides) under uncultured bacterium. RNAcentral's name for it is "bacterial SSU rRNA". It matches the Rfam family "Bacterial small subunit ribosomal RNA", at positions 556 to 1348 of the family's 1533-position model. The record is from RNAcentral.